Molecule: long non-coding RNA, 225 nt
Filed under: Erythranthe guttata (spotted monkey flower)
Lineage: Eukaryota; Viridiplantae; Streptophyta; Magnoliopsida; Lamiales; Phrymaceae
Description: long non-coding RNA (EGUT_LNC002661)
Source: RNAcentral
AUAAAUAAGGAACGUGUAAAGAAGUAUCAGCCGUGUCCAAGUUGGGACACAAAAUGUUCAUAUUUUCUUUCUUUUUGCAAAACGGCCCCAACACCCCACCCCAAUACUUUAUGUAAAUUUGGAUUCGGCCCGACACCGUGUCCGAGCCGUGUCUUGGCGAGUCCGCGCGAGUCGGGUGUCCGACACUUGGACUCUUCAGGUUUUUGAAGAGUCCGUGCAUCCUAG